UACGUAGGUGACGAGCGUUAUCCGGAUUUACUGGGCGUAAAGCGCUUGUAGGUGGUUUCGUAAGUUGGGCGUGAAAUCUCUGGGCUUAACCCGGAGAGGCCGUUCAAUACUGCGAGGCUAGAGGAUGUCAGAGGAAGGUGGAAUUCCUGGUGUAGUAGUGAAAUGCGUAGAUAUCAGGAGGAACACCCGUGGCGAAGGCGACCUUCUGGGACGUACCUGACACUGAGAAGCGAAAGCCAGGGGAGCAAACAGG
This 253-nucleotide unclassified non-coding RNA is filed under the name uncultured Anaerolineae bacterium. RNAcentral's name for it is "contains 16S-23S intergenic spacer region". It matches the Rfam family "Bacterial small subunit ribosomal RNA", at positions 524 to 776 of the family's 1533-position model. Lineage: Bacteria; Bacillati; Chloroflexota; Anaerolineae. The record is from RNAcentral.